Molecule: ribosomal RNA, 1152 nt
Filed under: Escherichia coli
Lineage: Bacteria; Pseudomonadati; Pseudomonadota; Gammaproteobacteria; Enterobacterales; Enterobacteriaceae
Description: partial 23S ribosomal RNA
Rfam family: Bacterial large subunit ribosomal RNA
Source: RNAcentral
GGUUAAGCGACUAAGCGUACACGGUGGAUGCCCUGGCAGUCAGAGGCGAUGAAGGACGUGCUAAUCUGCGAUAAGCGUCGGUAAGGUGAUAUGAACCGUUAUAACCGGCGAUUUCCGAAUGGGGAAACCCAGUGUGUUUCGACACACUAUCAUUAACUGAAUCCAUAGGUUAAUGAGGCGAACCGGGGGAACUGAAACAUCUAAGUACCCCGAGGAAAAGAAAUCAACCGAGAUUCCCCCAGUAGCGGCGAGCGAACGGGGAGGAGCCCAGAGCCUGAAUCAGUGUGUGUGUUAGUGGAAGCGUCUGGAAAGGCGCGCGAUACAGGGUGACAGCCCCGUACACAAAAAUGCACAUGCUGUGAGCUCGAUGAGUAGGGCGGGACACGUGGUAUCCUGUCUGAAUAUGGGGGGACCAUCCUCCAAGGCUAAAUACUCCUGACUGACCGAUAGUGAACCAGUACCGUGAGGGAAAGGCGAAAAGAACCCCGGCGAGGGGAGUGAAAAAGAACCUGAAACCGUGUACGUACAAGCAGUGGGAGCACGCUUAGGCGUGUGACUGCGUACCUUUUGUAUAAUGGGUCAGCGACUUAUAUUCUGUAGCAAGGUUAACCGAAUAGGGGAGCCGAAGGGAAACCGAGUCUUAACUGGGCGUUAAGUUGCAGGGUAUAGACCCGAAACCCGGUGAUCUAGCCAUGGGCAGGUUGAAGGUUGGGUAACACUAACUGGAGGACCGAACCGACUAAUGUUGAAAAAUUAGCGGAUGACUUGUGGCUGGGGGUGAAAGGCCAAUCAAACCGGGAGAUAGCUGGUUCUCCCCGAAAGCUAUUUAGGUAGCGCCUCGUGAAUUCAUCUCCGGGGGUAGAGCACUGUUUCGGCAAGGGGGUCAUCCCGACUUACCAACCCGAUGCAAACUGCGAAUACCGGAGAAUGUUAUCACGGGAGACACACGGCGGGUGCUAACGUCCGUCGUGAAGAGGGAAACAACCCAGACCGCCAGCUAAGGUCCCAAAGUCAUGGUUAAGUGGGAAACGAUGUGGGAAGGCCCAGACAGCCAGGAUGUUGGCUUAGAAGCAGCCAUCAUUUAAAGAAAGCGUAAUAGCUCACUGGUCGAGUCGGCCUGCGCGGAAGAUGUAACGGGGCUAAACCAUGCAC